UACGUAGGUCCCGAGCGUUGUCCGGAUUUAUUGGGCGUAAAGCGAGCGCAGGUGGUUUAUUAAGUCUGGUGUAAAAGGCAGUGGCUCAACCAUUGUAUGCAUUGGAAACUGGUAGACUUGAGAGCAGGAGAGGAGAGUGGAAUUCCAUGUGUAGCGGUGAAAUGCGUAGAUAUAUGGAGGAACACCGGUGGCGAAAGCGGCUCUCUGGUCUGUAACUGACGCUGAGGUUCGAAAGCGUGGGUAGCAAACAGG
RNAcentral lists this ribosomal RNA (252 nucleotides) under uncultured bacterium. RNAcentral's name for it is "partial 16S ribosomal RNA". It matches the Rfam family "Bacterial small subunit ribosomal RNA", at positions 524 to 776 of the family's 1533-position model. The record is from RNAcentral.